UAGGGAAUUUUGCGCAAUGGGGGAAACCCUGACGCAGCAACACCGCGUGAACGACGAAGCCCUUCGGGGUGUAAAGUUCUGUCAGUAGGGACGAAUUUUGACGGUACCUACAAAGGAAGCAUCGGCUAACUACGUGCCAGCAGCCGCGGUAAGACGUAGGAUGCAAGCGUUGUCCGGAAUCAUUGGGCGUAAAGAGUUCGUAGGCGGUAUGUAAAGUCUGGUGUUAAAGCCCGAAGCUCAACUUCGGUUCGGCACUGGAUACUUGCAAACUAGAGUGCAAUAGAGGUAGGGGGAAUUCCUAGUGUAGCGGUGAAAUGCGUAGAUAUUAGGAGGAACACCGGUGGCGAAAGCGCCCUACUGGGUUGUAACUGACGCUGAGGAACGAAAGCCAGGGUAGCAAAUG
This 403-nucleotide ribosomal RNA is filed under the name uncultured Vampirovibrio sp. RNAcentral describes it as "partial 16S ribosomal RNA". It matches the Rfam family "Bacterial small subunit ribosomal RNA", at positions 355 to 774 of the family's 1533-position model. The record is from RNAcentral. Lineage: Bacteria; Bacillati; Candidatus Melainabacteria; Vampirovibriophyceae; Vampirovibrionales; Vampirovibrionaceae.